Molecule: transfer RNA, 72 nt
Filed under: Sphaerodactylus townsendi
Lineage: Eukaryota; Metazoa; Chordata; Lepidosauria; Squamata; Sphaerodactylidae
Description: tRNA-Asn
Rfam family: tRNA
About the family: Transfer RNA (tRNA) molecules are approximately 80 nucleotides in length. Their secondary structure includes four short double-helical elements and three loops (D, anti-codon, and T loops). Further hydrogen bonds mediate the characteristic L-shaped molecular structure. tRNAs have two regions of fundamental functional importance: the anti-codon, which is responsible for specific mRNA codon recognition, and the 3' end, to which the tRNAs corresponding amino acid is attached (by aminoacyl-tRNA synthetases). tRNAs cope with the degeneracy of the genetic code in two manners: having more than one tRNA (with a specific anti-codon) for a particular amino acid; and 'wobble' base-pairing, i.e. permitting non-standard base-pairing at the 3rd anti-codon position.
Source: RNAcentral
UGUGGUGUAGCUUAGUGGUACAGCAUCUGUUUGUUAUUCAGAAAGUUUUAGGUUCAAUACCUGGUAUCUUGA